This 258-nucleotide ribosomal RNA is filed under the name uncultured archaeon. Its description in RNAcentral is "partial 16S ribosomal RNA". It matches the Rfam family "Archaeal small subunit ribosomal RNA", at positions 723 to 982 of the family's 1478-position model. The record is from RNAcentral.
CACACAUUAGAUACCCGCGUAGUCCAGGUGUAAACGCUGCAGACUUGGUGUUGGAGGCCCUUUGGGGGCAUUCAGUGCCGGAGAGAAGUUGUUAAGUCUGCUACUUGGGGAGUACGUCCGCAAGGAUGAAACUUAAAGGAAUUGGCGGGGGAGCACCGCAACGGGAGGAGCGUGCGGUUUAAUUGGAUUCAACGCCGUAAACUCACCAGGGAAGACUGUUACAUGAAGGCCGAGAUGAAGACUCUGCUAGAUUUUCAG